GAUGAACGCUGGCGGCGUGCUUAACACAUGCAAGUCGAACGGAAAGGCCCAAGCUUGCUUGGGUACUCGAGUGGCGAACGGGUGAGUAACACGUGGGUGAUCUGCCCUGCACUUCGGGAUAAGCCUGGGAAACUGGGUCUAAUACCGGAUAGGACCACUUCUUGGAUGUUGUGGUGGAAAGUUUUUUCGGUGUGGGAUGAGCUCGCGGCCUAUCAGCUUGUUGGUGGGGUAAUGGCCUACCAAGGCGUCGACGGGUAGCCGGCCUGGGAGGGUGUACGGCCACAUUGGGACUGAGAUACGGCCCAGACUCCUACGGGAGGCAGCAGGGGGGAAUAUUGCACAAUGGGCGCAAGCCUGAUGCAGCGACGCCGCGUGGGGGAUGACGGCCUUCGGGUUGGAAACUCCUUUCGCUAGGGACGAAGCGUUUUGUGACGGUACCUGGAGAAGAAGCACCGGCUAACUACGUG
RNAcentral lists this ribosomal RNA (467 nucleotides) under uncultured bacterium. RNAcentral's name for it is "partial 16S ribosomal RNA". It matches the Rfam family "Bacterial small subunit ribosomal RNA", at positions 28 to 507 of the family's 1533-position model. The record is from RNAcentral.